Molecule: long non-coding RNA, 1869 nt
Organism: Mus caroli (Ryukyu mouse)
Lineage: Eukaryota; Metazoa; Chordata; Mammalia; Rodentia; Muridae
Source: RefSeq, a predicted model, not a curated record
CGAGUGCUGGGAUUAAAGGCGUGCGCCACCACGCCCGGCUUUUUCUUCUCUUUCACUGUUUUGCAAUAAAAUCUCCUGAAUUGUGUCUCACCUUCCUUUCAUUGUGUGUGCAAGAUAAUUUCCUAGCCAGCACAAUGCAUACCUUUAAAGACACUUAGGCCAGAUUUGCUCUCCAAUCAUGUGGCUCCUACCCUGCUUUGCUUCAGCCUCCCCUGCAUAAACACUGUCAUCUAAGCUGCAUAUGAGGAUUCGCACUCCCGUACCCAGACAUUUGGACCUGGGUGGGCUUUUCUGGUUGGGAUAACACUGCCCAGUAAUUUCCACAUUACCAUCUCCUUAUAUAUUCACCAGGCCUACCUGCAGUCAACCUACACUAUUGGGCUUACAAAAGCCAGUUCAUUACUGCACCAUUCUACUAAUAGUUCAGAGAGCUUAAAAAAUAAAAGACCAAGGAGGGUGCUGUAUCACUUGCAGAAGAGGAAACUGAGAUGCAGGAAUUGAAAUUCUUCACUCAGAUGAUGAGCAACUCAAGCAAGGAUGAACGAAGGAACAUCAUGUAAUUCUAAUGCUCCAGCUCACAUGACUCCACUUUAUACCUACUUUGAAGCUCUCUCUCUCUCUCUCUCUCUCUCUCUCUCUCUCUCUCUCUCUCUGUAUGUAUGUGUGUGCAUACAUGUGCAUGUUGUGUAGGUCAGAGGUCAGUUUCAUCUGUUGAGCCCACCUCGGCCGGCAAGGAGGACACAACACGGUUGGAUUCUUCUUAACAGCCUUUUUAUUGCAGGAACACCUCAAUGCUGCUCUGGUGGACCCUGGGCACCCAGGGAGCACUGCUUAUAUGCACCCCAGCACUGGAGAAGACUCUGUGGCCCCCUGGGAUUGUGAUUUUGUCAGGCUAGGAGCUUCCAGCAGACAGUGAACUCAGUGGUCUCUGAAGCCACCUGGAAGUACUGCCAUGUUAGAAGGCUAUGAAGAAGGUCGUUGGCCAUGGAAAAGUUGCUGUAAUUCCAGCCUCAGACGAUCAGGAGUGUCAGAACUGAGACAUCCCUACUGAUAGUGACAAUUUACUCUCACCACUAAGCAUGAAACUCAAAGAAAGCAAGCAAGACAAACUGAUGUGCCCGUCAUGCUGGGUGCUCGAGGCCCAGGCUCACAUCUGCUGGAGUAUGACUCUCACUCUGACCUCCUGUUAGCUGUUUGAUCACAGGCAAGUUACUAACCCCUCAGUGCCCCCUCGGCAAAACAGAGAAACUGGAAUGACCCACAGCUUUGGAAAGAUUAUGGUAAUUGAUAUGUGGGAACCACACAAAGCUCCCAAUCCUUGUACAUUCGGUGCAUAACACUAGGAACCAUCCUUCCCAAGGAGAUUAUUUCUGUGUGUGGGAAGUGAUGUUUUCCUUUAUGGCUGAACCAUACAGUCUCUUUCCCGAAUGAUCUCAUAUGUGGAUAGGUAGCCUAGUUCUGUUUUUUUGUGCUAACUUAUUUGUUUGGAAAAUUUUGAAUUCAGUCAGAGCCAAAACCACAACAAUGGAAACACUGAGCCGCGCUCUGGAUGGACCAUUUUGCUUCGACCUCAGUCUUCUCAAGCUAUAAAUACAAUGAGACUGAACUUCUGUGCUUGGAUCGCCACACAAAUUAGAUAGGAGCUGGUUGUAGUUAAGGACACAGGUUCUGGAGCCAGGGAGACAGUCUGAGUUCCAACUCUGCCACUUAGGAACAGAGUUGGCUGGCAAGGGGACCUGAGUCCAUAUUCUUCAUCUCCAAAUCAGGAUGCUGACCCUACAGACAUCAUAUGGGUAUUGAACUGAUUUAGAAAGAUAUUUCAUAUAGUCUCUCUCUCUCUCUCCCUCCCUCUCCCUCUCCCUCUUUCUC